RNAcentral lists this ribosomal RNA (466 nucleotides) under uncultured bacterium. RNAcentral's name for it is "partial 16S ribosomal RNA". It matches the Rfam family "Bacterial small subunit ribosomal RNA", at positions 28 to 507 of the family's 1533-position model. The record is from RNAcentral.
GAUGAACGCUGGCGGCGUGCUUAACACAUGCAAGUCGAACGAUGAAGCCCAGCUUGUUGGGUGGAUUAGUGGCGAACGGGUGAGUAACACGUGAGUAACCUGCCCUUAACGCUGGGAUAAGCCUGGGAGACUGGGGCUAAUAUCGGAUAGGAGCGUCCCCCGCAAGGUGGGUGUUGGAAAGAUUUAUCGGUUUUGGGUGGAGUCGCGGCCUAUCAGCUUGUUGGUGGGGGAGUGGCUCACCAAGGCGACGACGGGUAGCCGGCCUGAGAGGGUGACCGGCCACACUGGGACUGAGACACGGCCCAGACUCCUACGGGAGGCAGCAGUGGGGAAUAUUGCACAAUGGGCGCAAGCCGGAUGCAGCGACGCCGCGUGAGGGAUGACGGCCUUCGGGUUGUAAACCGCUUUCGGCAGGGAAGAAGCGUGAGUGACGGUACCUGCAGAAGAAGCACCGGCUAACUACGUG